GCAAGUCGAACGAGAACCCUUUUGUUCGUAAGAUCGAGAGGACUUCUAGUGGCGAACGGGUGAGUAACACGUGAGAAACCUGCCCCAAAGACCGGGAUAGCCCAUGGAAACGUGGAGUAAUACCGGAUGCCCUCACGGAAUCGCAUGGUUCUGUGAGGAAAUGCUCCGACGCUUUGGGAUGGUCUCGCGGCCUAUCAGCUUGUUGGUGAGGUAACGGCUCACCAAGGCACUGACGGGUAGCUGGUCUGAGAGGACGAUC
This 259-nucleotide ribosomal RNA is filed under the name uncultured bacterium. RNAcentral describes it as "partial 16S ribosomal RNA". It matches the Rfam family "Bacterial small subunit ribosomal RNA", at positions 57 to 305 of the family's 1533-position model. The record is from RNAcentral.